GAUGAACGCUGGCGGCGUGCCUAAUACAUGCAAGUCGAGCGAACAGACGAGGAGCUUGCUCCUCUGACGUUAGCGGCGGACGGGUGAGUAACACGUGGAUAACCUACCUAUAAGACUGGGAUAACUUCGGGAAACCGGAGCUAAUACCGGAUAAUAUAUUGAACCGCAUGGUUCAAUAGUGAAAGACGGUUUUGCUGUCACUUAUCGAUGGAUCCGCGCCGCAUUAGCUAGUUGGUAAGGUAACGGCUUACCAAGGCAACGAUGCGUAGCCGACCUGAGAGGGUGAUCGGCCACACUGGAACUGAGACACGGUCCAGACUCCUACGGGAGGCAGCAGUAGGGAAUCUUCCGCAAUGGGCGAAAGCCUGACGGAGCAACGCCGCGUGAGUGAUGAAGGUCUUCGGAUCGUAAAACUCUGUUAUUAGGGAAGAACAAAUGUGUAAGUAACUAUGCACGUCUUGACGGUACCUAAUCAGAAAGCCACGGCUAACUACGUG
This 497-nucleotide ribosomal RNA is filed under the name uncultured bacterium. RNAcentral describes it as "partial 16S ribosomal RNA". It matches the Rfam family "Bacterial small subunit ribosomal RNA", at positions 28 to 507 of the family's 1533-position model. The record is from RNAcentral.